UAAGCGGAGGAAAAGAAACUAACAAGGAUUCCCCUAGUAACUGCGAGUGAAGCGGGAAAAGCUCAAAUUUAAAAUCUGGCGGUCUUUGGCCGUCCGAGUUGUAAUUUAGAGAAGCGUCUUCCGCGCUGGACCGUGCACAAGUCUCCUGGAAUGGAGCGUCAUAGAGGGUGAAAAUCCCGUCUUUGGCACGGAUGCCUGGUGCUUCUGUGAUGCGCUCUCGAAGAGUCGAGUUGUUUGGGAAUGCAGCUCAAAAUGGGUGGUGAACUCCAUCUAAAGCUAAAUAUUGGCGAGAGACCGAUAGCGAACAAGUACCGUGAGGGAAAGAUGAAAAGCACUUUGGAAAGAGAGUGAAACAGUACGUGAAAUUGUUGAAAGGGAAACGCUUGAAGUCAGUCGCGUCGACCGAGACUCAGCCUUGCCUUGGCUUGGUGUACUUCUCGGCCCGACGGGUCAGCAUCAAUUUUGCCCCUCGGAUAAUGGCAGGGGAAAGGUGGCACCUUUACGGGUGUGUUAUAGUCUCCUGUCGAAUGCGAGGGGUGGGAUUGAGGAACUCAGCGCGCACCUCAGUGUCGGGGCUUCGGCCCACGUCACGCGCUUAGGAUGCUGGCGUAAUGGCUUUAAACGACC
This 627-nucleotide ribosomal RNA is filed under the name uncultured Russulaceae. RNAcentral describes it as "LSU rRNA". It matches the Rfam family "Eukaryotic large subunit ribosomal RNA", at positions 47 to 649 of the family's 3401-position model. Lineage: Eukaryota; Fungi; Basidiomycota; Agaricomycetes; Russulales; Russulaceae. The record is from RNAcentral.